CAGCAGCCGCGGGAAUACGUAGGUGGCAAGCGUUGUCCGGAAUUAUUGGGCGUAAAGGGCUCGCAGGCGGUUUCUUAAGUCUGAUGUGAAAGCCCCCGGCUCAACCGGGGAGGGUCAUUGGAAACUGGGAAACUUGAGUGCAGAAGAGGAGAGUGGAAUUCCACGUGUAGCGGUGAAAUGCGUAGAGAUGUGGAGGAACACCAGUGGCGAAGACGACUCUCUGGUCUGUAACUGACGCUGAGGAGCGAAAGCGUGGGGAGCGAACAGGAUUAGAUACCCGAGUAGUCCCUGUCUCUUAUAC
This 301-nucleotide ribosomal RNA is filed under the name uncultured bacterium. RNAcentral describes it as "partial 16S ribosomal RNA". It matches the Rfam family "Bacterial small subunit ribosomal RNA", at positions 509 to 807 of the family's 1533-position model. The record is from RNAcentral.